RNAcentral lists this ribosomal RNA (465 nucleotides) under Vreelandella stevensii. RNAcentral describes it as "partial 16S ribosomal RNA". It matches the Rfam family "Bacterial small subunit ribosomal RNA", at positions 338 to 795 of the family's 1533-position model. The record is from RNAcentral. Lineage: Bacteria; Pseudomonadati; Pseudomonadota; Gammaproteobacteria; Oceanospirillales; Halomonadaceae.
CCUACGGGGUGCUGCAGUGGGGAAUAUUGGACAAUGGGCGAAAGCCUGAUCCAGCCAUGCCGCGUGUGUGAAGAAGGCCUUCGGGUUGUAAAGCACUUUCAGUGGGGAAGAAAGCCUUGGGGCUAAUACCCUCGAGGAAGGACAUCACCCACAGAAGAAGCACCGGCUAACUCCGUGCCAGCAGCCGCGGUAAUACGGAGGGUGCGAGCGUUAAUCGGAAUUACUGGGCGUAAAGCGCGCGUAGGCGGUCUGAUAAGCCGGUUGUGAAAGCCCCGGGCUCAACCUGGGAACGGCAUCCGGAACUGUCAGGCUAGAGUGCAGGAGAGGAAGGUAGAAUUCCCGGUGUAGCGGUGAAAUGCGUAGAGAUCGGGAGGAAUACCAGUGGCGAAGGCGGCCUUCUGGACUGACACUGACGCUGAGGUGCGAAAGCGUGUGUAGCAAACAGGAUUAGAUACCCUGGUAGUC